GACGAACGCUGGCGGCGUGCUUAACACAUGCAAGUCGAACGGAAAGGCCCUGCUUUUGUGGGGUGCUCGAGUGGCGAACGGGUGAGUAACACGUGAGUAACCUGCCCUUGACUUUGGGAUAACUCUAGGAAACUGGGGCUAAUACCGGAUAGGAGCUCCUGCUGCAUGGUGGGGGUUGGAAAGUUUCGGCGGUUGGGGAUGGACUCGCGGCUUAUCAGCUUGUUGGUGGGGUAGUGGAUUACCAAGGCUAUGACGGGUAGCCGGCCUGAGAGGGUGACCGGCCACAUUGGGACUGAGAUACGGCGCAGUCUCCUACGGGAGGCAGCGGGGGAGAAUAUUACACAAUGGGCGGGAGCCUGAUGCAGCAACGCCGCGUGCGGGAUGACGGCCUUCGGGUUGUAAACCGCUUUCGCCUGUGACGAAGCGUGAGUGACGGUAAUGGGUAAAGAAGCACCGGCUAACUACGUG
RNAcentral lists this ribosomal RNA (468 nucleotides) under uncultured bacterium. Its description in RNAcentral is "partial 16S ribosomal RNA". It matches the Rfam family "Bacterial small subunit ribosomal RNA", at positions 28 to 507 of the family's 1533-position model. The record is from RNAcentral.